GCUUAGAGAGGGGUCAAUGUCCUAUCAGCUAGUUGGUAAGGUAAUGGCUUACCAAGGCUAAGACGGGUAGCCGGCCUGAGAGGGUGGUCGGCCACACUGGGACUGAGACACUGCCCAGACUCCUACGGGAGGCUGCAGUCGAGAAUCUUUCGCAAUGCCCGAAAGGGUGACGAAGCGACGCCGCGUGUGGGAAGAAGGCCUUCGGGUUGUAAACCACUGUCGGGAGUUAAGAAAUGUAAGGGUGUUAAUAGCAUCCUUACUUGACUAAGGCUCCGGAGGAAGCCACGGCUAACUCUGUGCCAGCAGCCGCGGUAAUACAGAGGCGGCAAGCGUUGUUCGGAAUUAUUGGGCGUAAAGAGCACGUAGGCGGCUUUGUAAGUCAGUUGUGAAAGCCUUCUGCUUAACGGAAGAACAGCAUCUGAUACUGCAAGGCUAGAGUGCGGAAGGG
RNAcentral lists this ribosomal RNA (448 nucleotides) under uncultured Planctomycetota bacterium. Its description in RNAcentral is "bacterial SSU rRNA". It matches the Rfam family "Bacterial small subunit ribosomal RNA", at positions 217 to 656 of the family's 1533-position model. The record is from RNAcentral. Lineage: Bacteria; Pseudomonadati; Planctomycetota.